GAUGAACGCUGGCGGCGUGCCUAAUACAUGCAAGUCGAACGAACAGACGAGGAGCUUGCUCCUCUGACGUUAGCGGCUGACGGGUGAGUAACACGUGGAUAACCUACCUAUAAGACUGGGAUAACUUCGGGAAACCGGAGCUAAUACCGGAUAAUAUAUUGAACCGCAUGGUUCAAUAGUGAAAGACGGUUUUGCUGUCACUUAUAGAUGGAUCCGCGCCGCAUUAGCUAGUUGGUAAGGUAACGGCUUACCAAGGCAACGAUGCGUAGCCGACCUGAGAGGGUGAUCGGCCACACUGGAACUGAGACACGGUCCAGACUCCUACGGGAGGCAGCAGUAGGGAAUCUUCCGCAAUGGGCGAAAGCCUGACGGAGCAACGCCGCGUGAGUGAUGAAGGUCUUCGGAUCGUAAAACUCUGUUAUUAGGGAAGAAAAAAUGUGUAAGUAACUAUGCACGUCUUGACGGUACCUAAUCAGAAAGCAACGGCUAACUACGUG
RNAcentral lists this ribosomal RNA (497 nucleotides) under uncultured bacterium. Its description in RNAcentral is "partial 16S ribosomal RNA". It matches the Rfam family "Bacterial small subunit ribosomal RNA", at positions 28 to 507 of the family's 1533-position model. The record is from RNAcentral.